UGGUUGGCCCAAAAGUUUGUUGGGGUUUUUCCAUGAAAUGUUACAAAAAAACCAAAUGAACUUUGGGGCCAACCC
This 75-nucleotide microRNA precursor is filed under the name Ovis aries (sheep). Its description in RNAcentral is "miRNA (ENSOARG00000022903.1)". Lineage: Eukaryota; Metazoa; Chordata; Mammalia; Artiodactyla; Bovidae. The record is from RNAcentral.